This 24-nucleotide non-coding RNA is filed under the name Arabidopsis thaliana (thale cress). Lineage: Eukaryota; Viridiplantae; Streptophyta; Magnoliopsida; Brassicales; Brassicaceae. The record is from RNAcentral.
AAGGAGAAUUCAUUAGUUUUUCUU